UUAGUGGUUGGAGGUAAAAUAUUAUUUGAUAUAUGGGCCAAAAAUUUGAUAGUAUAUAUUAUUUAUGUGCUAUUAAAAAAAUUCUAAACGGGACUCGGUUAAUAAUUGGAUUAUUUUAUUAAAUUAUAUUUGUAAAUAAAUUUAGAGGUAAACUUAUGAAAAUAAAAUAAAAUAAUUAAUAAAAUAAUAAAAUAAUGCAUAUAGUGGAGGAUAUAGAUUAUUUUAUUAUUUUGUAAAUGAUAAAAAGGAUUACAUAACAGCUGUAUAAAAUUAUUUUAGAAAAUUUAAUUUUUUUUGCUAGAUUUAGCUAAAUGCUCUAUAAUUUUUUCGUAAAAUUAAUUUAAUAAAAAUUAUUUUUUGUCUAAAGCUCGGCCAAACAUUUGACAUUUCAAACUCUGCUUCCCACUAAAACUUAUCACAAGAAUUUUUAAUUAUUACUUUUUUAAGCAUUUUUUAAUAUAUAUAUUUUUUAUUUUUUAACCAUUAUUAUCUCCUUUCCGGUUUGAUAAUUGAUACGCACUACCGUCCAAUUUUAAGCACUGUAAGCUCUGAUUACUGCACGGCAGUUUCCUCUCGCAGUAAAACAUUCCUUCUUUUUUUUUUUAUUUUUAUUUUGACUGAAUUGCAAGAAAUUUUUAUGUUAAAAUCUGAUUUUUUUUUUUUUUGGUCAUUCAAAAAUCUAUAUUUUGACCACUUAAAAAUUAAAAAAUAUUUAUAAAUAUACGGUGUUAAUUGUGAUGACAAAAUAAUCAAAUUACCUUUCAUUCUCUUUGCCUUCUCUCUAAUUCCACUCAUCCGCACCCUCUCCUCUUUCAUCCUUCGCGCCUUACUCGACCCUAGCUCCGACUUUAUUUUCUACACCUGCUCCUCCGCUCCUCCAGCAUUCUCGUUGCCCCCUCCAUUUCUGCUACUGUAGGGAGGAAAUCGGGGUGGACGUGGACGAAAAGGUCGUGAGGGCGACAGUGAGGUGGCGGAGGAAGGUGAGGGCAUGUGUGUGGGUACGGACAGAGGAGUGGGAGAAGACGAGGAGGCGCGACCGAGGACGUUGGUGAGAAAAGAAUAAGCGUAUUUAGAUGAUGAUUUCAAGAAUAUUUUGGAUAUAAUAAUAGAAUAAAAACGGAAUCCUAACAGAACAGUUACGGUGGGGAUCGAAGUAAAUAUUUCUCAAUUUAUAAAAAGACGGAAUAUAUAGUUUCAAAAGUCACAAAGAAAAAUAAAGAAAAUCGGAUAUUAACAGAAAAUUUUCUUUAAUUCAGUCUUUUAGUUUUAUUUUUAUUUUUUGGUUAAAUCAUUACACUCCCAAACCUUUUCAAAUUUUAAAUUAUUAUUCUUUU
RNAcentral lists this long non-coding RNA (1334 nucleotides) under Ananas comosus (pineapple). RNAcentral describes it as "long non-coding RNA (ACOM_LNC024405)". Lineage: Eukaryota; Viridiplantae; Streptophyta; Magnoliopsida; Poales; Bromeliaceae. The record is from RNAcentral.